AUAGGCAAUUCUUUUCCUAAAUGGGCCUUAAAAUCAAUGGGUUAUUAGCUCUCCUUCUCCUCCCCAUGAUGAAAGCAAAGUCCUGUUAAACAUGCAAACUGCACAAUAUUCAGAAGCCUCGGUUUACAAAAGUGUUUUGCUCAGCUAGACCCUAAUUUAAUUUAUUUAUAGCUAACAUAAAUAAUACGGAGAUUUACACCUCUCUUAUGUGUAUGAAUUUUCCUUGAAGCAUAUGUUUCUUCGCUGCAGUCACCACCGCCGAUGAGGAAUUAUUUUAAGGGCCUGACUCACCUGGGUGAGUGCUUACUCAUCUAGUUAGUCCUACUGGAUUGGGAGAAUUCAUCCCAACGUGGUGCCUGAGCGUGCUGGACCAGAUGGAUGGAAGUAUUUGUCCUGUAUGCAGGUAGGCUUUUGUUGGAGGGGGGGUGAGCACAUCAUUUGCUUCAAGCUGUUUUAGRCAUUUGCCUUUGAUGCUGUGUUUCCCUUGCCUUUCUCAAGUCUUUUAAGCUCCUUUUUCUUGUGCCUCACAGCAGCGUUAGGCACCUAACAACAGAAUAAAUAUUUGUUAGGUGCCUACGUGUUUCUGAGGACCUGAGUUCACCUCCUGUAGUGGGGACCCAAAUCACCAAUGUGCUUUUGCCACUCUUGUUUGGGGACCAUCUUCAUUUCUUGGCAUCUGAGUACUCUUAAACAUCUGCUCUUAACGUCAGAACUGGAAUGGUAUUUAGGUAUUUUACUCCCCUGGAUUUCACUUGAGGACAAGAGCCAAAAUACUCUCUCCAGGUCACUGUGCAAAAUAGGAGACAGGCACUUAAAGGCACAUCUGCACUGAAUUCAGAAACGUCCACACAUCCAUUGUAGAGGAUUUUUUUUUUUUGCCUCUCCAAAAGCCUUACCGUGAUUCUUCCCCUGUGUCUCAUCAGCUGCGUCGCGCCGCCUCCUGUCCCCAAGGAGAUGUCCGAAGUCGGCUCUCCGGCUCCGGGGCAGCGAGAGGAGCUGGUGGGAGCAGACCUGAAGGGUUUCCCCAGCCCAGUGGUCGUGCCGGGGGCCGGCUGGAGGCGUGUUUGGCUGCACCGGGCUGCUUUGCAAUAGAUUUUUUYCCAGCAGUGAAUGGGUUUAGAUAUACUAAAUUGGGAACACUUUUUUUCCCCCCCCUUUUGGUAGGCCGCAGGGCUGCACACAGGUCACAGGAAUGUGUUGUUUGCAGUAAAAAGAUGGGGGUGACAUGAGCUGUGGAGUCCUUACGUCCUUCAGUGGUAAA
Molecule: long non-coding RNA, 1261 nt
Filed under: Apteryx haastii (Great spotted kiwi)
Lineage: Eukaryota; Metazoa; Chordata; Aves; Apterygiformes; Apterygidae
Description: lncRNA (ENSAHAG00000009972.1)
Source: RNAcentral